Salmo salar (Atlantic salmon) is the source of this 4119-nucleotide non-coding RNA. NCBI's taxonomy places the organism in Eukaryota, Metazoa, Chordata, Actinopteri, Salmoniformes, Salmonidae. The record is from RefSeq and is a predicted model, not a curated record.
CUGUCAAAGGCAAACUUGCAUCAAUAAUUCUGCAAGGUUGCCUUGCAUGCCUGCAGCACGAAUCCACUGGGUGGGCUUUUCCAUUAAGUGCGUUUAGACGAAUCAAGAUCGUGCUGUUCCAGCGAAGCGUAGUAGUGUGCACCACGGAUGAGACGUCGCUGAAUACGAAGCUUUCGUACUCAAUCUUACAUUUUACACACUGUUAGUGUAUUGAAUUUUCUAACAGCCUGCCGAUUUCCGAACCCCAUUAACCCAAUGAUGGAGUUAUCCUUGAUGUCAGCGCAGACCAGACCAACACAACCAUGACUUAGUCUCUCUGCACUGGUCCAAUCGCUGCUCAGUGCCGUCUGAGUCCAGCGCUCUCCUUUUAAAUCCCCUCUCUGUGGUGAAUCAGCACUCGCAGCGCAGCCCUCCGGUGAUACAGCAAGUGGUAGAGAAGUCUACUGAAACAGCCUACACAUUUUCCGGCUGUGAGUGGGGCCUUCAUGGAUUCCCCGUACAAUGGCAACACGUCCCUCCAGACCUCCACCUCCAACCUCAAUGCCAACUUCUCCCGGCCGACUGAGGCGGAAGAGGAGGGCAAGUACUCCAGCGACGCCAUCUGGCUUUGGGUAGCCGUCAUUGCAACCAUCGGCAACAUAGUAGUGGUAGCAGUGGUUUGCGCCUGUGCCUUCUAAGACCCGUUAGUUACAAGCACACAGCCGAACCUCCCUCUUGCCACCUUUUUCCCCUCCACUUUAACCUAUCCCUGUAUUCAUUUUCAUCUUGUAUGUGUCCAUCCAUAAUAUUAAAGCCAAGGCCCUGUUCUGAGGGUCAACGGAAUAUGAUAGUGUAAAUAUAGGGAUUGGUUUAACUGAUGUUCUGUAGGACUGUGAAUGCGUUUAUAAGUCUAGGAAUGAGAGAGAGACAAUCCUCUGGAGUUACCAUACUGUAUCUUACCUAAAGCCUAUGUCUCUGUGUUACUAUUUUUUUUAAUGAUAAACAGGGAAGUGAGCUGAUGUGGGCUGUGCCUUUGUAUAAUGAACAUUUUGUAAAUGAGUUAUGGAAAUGGACAUGAUCUAAAGCAGCUGAGUGAGCCUCCCUGAUCACCAGAGGUCAGUUUAAAGGAUUAGUGUACAGCUGUGAGAUCCCCUCUGCCUAUGAACCUGAACAGAACACCACACCAUAUAUCUUUGUCUGGUUGAUGUCAUGUGACUGUUUGUCUGGAAUGAAUGUGCUGAUGCUGCUGUCUUGGUCCAGGUCUCUCUUGAAAAUUCGAUUUUUAUCUCAAUGAGACUAACCUGGUUAAAUAAGGGUGAUAUAAUUAAACACCAAAUCAGCAGUUCUCGUUGUGGUUGGCCACUGUCUCGGAGACCAGUAGAGAGAUAUGUGACAGAUGGUGGCUGGUAGGGGCGCCGAGGGGACAGCGGAGGGGCCCGGGGCAGACUUGGCAGUACCCCCAGUACUCGGUGUUCUUUCCUGUGACUGCUGCACCCCUGCACUACCAUUCACCAUUACUGCUCUGUCCUGUCCUCAUCAGCCUCUGUGAUAGAAAUCUCCCCAAGCACUUUAUAAAACCCAAUAAACUGGGGAGUUUUCUUCCAUUUUAACUGCAGUGUUCAGUGCCCACCUGUUGCAUCUCUGCAGUGGCUGUAGACCUGUGCCAGUUUAACUAUGCAGUGAUGACAUCCCACUGAGCACACACUGGUUGAAUUAAAGUUGUUGCCACGUCAUUUCAAUGAAAUGUUCCCAGUGGGAUAGCUGUGGAUAAUGUUUAUAAGUGAGACCGAUGUAUACAAACACAGUAUCACCCACAAGCCAAAUGAGGGAAUUAAGUUGUCAGCACAAAUCUUUUGUUAUACCACCCCUGCUGACAUUAUCUGCAAUUACGGAGCCACCAAUUACAUCGCACUAAAUCAUUGAGCCGCCCACCAUAACCAGACUAUCCCAAAUGACCAGACCGCCGCUACGAAGGCCCCAAGCUGUUGAGCUAGCAAUUAAAUGAUUUUGCUCCUGUCAUAAGAAACCCCAUUGCGGUUAACGUUAGUUUUUUGUUGUUGUUGUGCCAGGCAGGCAGAAUCUCACAUUCACCUCAGAUUGUCUCUCAGUAGACUAGUGUGUGUAAGUGGCAGCAGCCCCAGUAGUUCUGUGCUGUGCUGUCUCCCAUGCACCCAGGGGAGUGGGGCCACAGACUUGUCAAACGGCAGGGCUGUAAUGAGAUGUAAUGCCUCUCUCUCUUUCCUAAAGCGAACACUGACCUCCCCGUUGCGCUGCGGUGAUCAGAGCAGAUCUGAUCCCUGCUGCACUCGGCUGCACUGAACAAAGAUAGUGCUUCAAAGUGCAUUUUUAGAGUGUGACUUCCUCAUUUAAUCAGCACCCGUUGUGAUUGAAAGGGAGAGGAGGGGGAGAGAGGAGUGACUGCAUGGGAUUUGAUUUAUAACAGCCAACUUCCAUGUCAUCGCUUUGAAUUACAGGACUUUUUUUGAAGUACAAUGGAAUCUUUUUAAUUUUUUUUUAUUGAAACCAACGAAGUGGAAUAAAAGGUUUUAAGAUGGAGAGAUUUAGGAUCAAAAGUCUGGCUGAGACAUCACUCCACACAGCUAAUUGCCCUGAUCUCACUGUACAGUAGAGUUAAUGAAAACAAGAGACAGAUUCAUCAUGGCAUCUCUGAGCAGUCCUUUUCAGGUUCCUUAGAGAGCUUAGUCAGAAGAAACCUGUGGGAACAGUAAUGCAUUGUCUCUUACAAUAAACAACAACAAAUUAAAAAAAACGUUUUUUUUUAUUGCACAGUAUGGGGUCAUAAGUAUCUGCUGGCAAUAACUCAAGAUGACGCUAACAAGUUAGUAUUAUACAUCCUCACUAUAUGUAGUUGCUUUAAUACAGUAACUAUUCUGAAGCAACAUUCAUAUGAACUAGGUGAGGAAUCCCAGUUAGCUACAAUAUGAAUUUCUUCUACCCUUGUGUCGGCUGUGUGCUUUGACAUGGGACUGGUUAAGGCUCAGGUGCCCACUGUCUACGGCUCGAAUUAUGUGCCUGAACUGACUUACACAACUCCUACCCAUCAACUGCUUAUUGACCGUGGACGCCCCUUGACCACCAUGGAUGAUGGUCCUCCUACACACGACAAGACGUCAUCACAGCCUCAAGCCCAGGCCCAGAGGGGACUGCUUAAUUACACCCCAUAGAGCACUGCACGUUCCAUCCUCCUUCUCCUUUCCCCUUUUCUCUCUCCUUCCACCCCAUCCCCCAUCCCUCCAUCCAUCCAUCCAUCCAUCCAUGCAGAGCACUAGACCGUGGUGUCUGCGUUGGCACUGACCUCUGACUCGAGGCAGGGCACCUCAUGCCCACAUGCCUCUUCCUUCCCAGGCAGCAAGAAAUAGUCCGGCCGUUGCUGGGGAAAUGGACGAGUCACUCCUACGAGAGGAGAAUUGUAGGAGCAAGGAGCAGCUGGACUCCCAGGAAUUGUCCAUCCUUCCUCUGCCCCCAGGAACAUAUAGGCUCAUUAAAGCAGACUUCCUGUAUCCUCAGUACAGCAGAGACAGUAUGGGUGACUAGGGACUGUGACUUUUAUAAAAGCACCUACAGGGAACACAUAAAGACUACAUGGGGGCUAGGAGGGAUAUUAUGGAAGAGGUGGGACUUGAGAGGUAACAGACAUCGUAUUCAUGACUUCAACACAUAAUAUCAUAUCUUAUCCAAGGUUACUUGUAGUUGACUUUAUUUGGAAUGUGCUGUGACUCAUAACACUCAAAGAACAUAGAAAGUGAAACCACACUAGGAAAAGAGCAACAUCCUUCUGGAGUCCUGUACGUCUUGUUUCGAAAUGGAUUUCUGACAGCGAUUCACACAUUCAUUGCAAUGAAUGAAUGGAUAUACAUCGACUUUGUUGACUCUGAACACUUGGAUUCUACUUUUCUGUGCAUCCAGUUGCAGGGUUGUACGUUCUGAUACCUCCCUGUAGGUGUCAGGGUUACCGCUAUGAAAUACUGAUUAUCAAAAGGCUAUUGGCUAAAUACAGUCACCGUGUUAGUUAAAUUCAUUCUCAAUGUUCAUUCACAAAAGCAUUCUAUAACAAUUACUUCAUACAAAAUACUGCACAGAGUCACAUUACUGCAAUGUGUUUUAAAUGACAUUUCUAGG